GUAACAAAGGUUUCCGUAGGUGAACCAGCGG
RNAcentral lists this ribosomal RNA (31 nucleotides) under Fusarium solani. Its description in RNAcentral is "partial 18S ribosomal RNA". The record is from RNAcentral. Lineage: Eukaryota; Fungi; Ascomycota; Sordariomycetes; Hypocreales; Nectriaceae.